This 423-nucleotide ribosomal RNA is filed under the name Saurodactylus brosseti. Its description in RNAcentral is "partial 16S ribosomal RNA". It matches the Rfam family "Bacterial large subunit ribosomal RNA", at positions 1993 to 2591 of the family's 2925-position model. The record is from RNAcentral. Lineage: Eukaryota; Metazoa; Chordata; Lepidosauria; Squamata; Sphaerodactylidae.
UGAACGGCUAAAUGAGGACUACCCUGUCUCCCGCAGUAACUCAAUGAAACUGAUCUCCCAGUACAAAAGCUGGAAUAAUUCCACAAGACGAGAAGACCCCGUGGAGCUUAAAAUAAACACUAAUCAACCCCCCCCGCCCCUCCGGGGCCCAUUCACCAAAAAUUAGUGCACAUUUUCAGUUGGGGCGACUACGGAAAAAAACAAAACUUCCACACAACAGGCCAACCCCCUACACCAGGCCUACGAGCCUAAAUAUGUAACCCACGACCCAGUAACACUGAUCAUUGAACCAAGUUACCCCGGGGAUAACAGCGCUAUCCUCUUUAAGAGCCCAUAUCGCCAAGAGGGUUUACGACCUCGAUGUUGGAUCAGGACCCCCAGGUGGCGCAGUCGCUACCAACGGUUCGUUUGUUCAACGACUAA